This 497-nucleotide ribosomal RNA is filed under the name uncultured bacterium. RNAcentral describes it as "partial 16S ribosomal RNA". It matches the Rfam family "Bacterial small subunit ribosomal RNA", at positions 28 to 507 of the family's 1533-position model. The record is from RNAcentral.
GACGAACGCUGGCGGCGUGCCUAAUACAUGCGAGUAGAACGCUGAAGAGAGGAGCUUCCUCUUCUUGGAUGAGUUGCGAACGGGUGAGUAACGCGUAGGUAACCUGCCUUGUAGCGGGGGAUAACUAUUGGAAACGAUAGCUAAUACCGCAUAACAAUGGAUGACACAUGUCAUUUAUUUGAAAGGGGCAAUUGCUCCACUACAAGAUGGACCUGCGUUGUAUUAGCUAGUAGGUGAGGUAAUGGCUCACCUAGGCGACGAUACAUAGCCGACCUGAGAGGGUGAUCGGCCACACUGGGACUGAGACACGGCCCAGACUCCUACGGGAGGCAGCAGUAGGGAAUCUUCGGCAAUGGGGGCAACCCUGACCGAGCAACGCCGCGUGAGUGAAGAAGGUUUUCGGAUCGUAAAGCUCUGUUGUAAGUCAAGAACGGGUGUGAGAGUGGAAAGUUCACACUGUGACGGUAGCUUACCAGAAAGGGACGGCUAACUACGUG